GCGCCGAGCGUAGCGAGACAACGUUGCGCAGCAACGGCCCGAAGGGCGCUUAUCGCAGAUAAGCGUUAUCCUCUCUCGCCGACCA
RNAcentral lists this small RNA (85 nucleotides) under Pantoea piersonii. RNAcentral's name for it is "partial RtT sRNA". It matches the Rfam family "RtT RNA", at positions 45 to 130 of the family's 130-position model. Rfam says of the family: This family represents a bacterial cis-regulatory element known as RtT RNA. The exact function of RtT is unknown although it is thought that it may be involved in changing the cellular response in relation to amino acid starvation. The record is from RNAcentral. Lineage: Bacteria; Pseudomonadati; Pseudomonadota; Gammaproteobacteria; Enterobacterales; Erwiniaceae.